AAUAAGGAAACGUCUUGUGUCCAAUGCGGGUCGGGCCCAUUAUGUCUAUAUUUUGUCGAUCUUGUAGUUGUAACCUUUAAUUCUCAAAGAGAUAUUAAUAACAAUCAAAAUCAUAUUCAGUGUUGCAUGACCGGUGCCAUCAUAGAUCUUAUAUGUUCUUUUCCGUAUAAGAUGUGGAGUUGAAUCUUAUUUAGUUAUUUGUGUUGAAAAGGAUUCAUGUAAGCUCUUUGUAUCGUCGUUUCAUUUGUCAAUUUUUAUAAUUGCAAUCAGGUCUAACAAUAACAGAUUGAAGAAUCAGCCUUGCAUUUGUUUGGUGCGUGUAGCGUCGCCAUCCAGGUUUGGGACUACAUUGCUAGAUGGUGUAGACUUAAACCGAUUUUCAUUUUGGAACUGAAGGAUCUAGCAAAUAUUCAUAACCAGAAUCGUGGGUCAAAAAUGUGGAAAAAAGCGGUGUAUCUGGUUGUUCAAACAGCAAUUUGGUGCAUCUGGAGGUCUCGUAUAGUACUGUUUUCAACAGGAAGCGUGUUUCGGUGACAAAUAUAAUCGAGGAGAUCAAACUUCUCGGUUUUCUUUGGAUGCGGAGUAGAAUAAAAGGACGCGAAAUCACUUGGGAAAGCUGGGUUUCAUUCAAUUUAGCCUGUCUGGGGACUGUUAGCCAACUUUUUAUGGUGGAAUGAAAGUUUUUGUUUGCCUUUCAAAAGAAAAAAAAAAUAACAGAUUGUCGAUUGGGGUUGUAAAUGGUUUAAGGGCGAAGUCUAGUAAAGAUUGUUUCUAGU
Molecule: long non-coding RNA, 776 nt
Filed under: Helianthus annuus (common sunflower)
Lineage: Eukaryota; Viridiplantae; Streptophyta; Magnoliopsida; Asterales; Asteraceae
Description: hypothetical non coding rna
Source: RNAcentral